AUUAACUGGUUUAUGUGUAUGGGAAGGAAGAAAGGAACGAAAGGCCAGAAGAAAGGCUGGGAUAAAAAGCCUCGUCAGAAGCAGCAAGUUGCCAAAACGUCGUCAUCAAGGAGUGAUGAUGAAGAUGUGUCAAAGAAAUUGGAGGAAACGGAUACACAGCGAGAACAAGGAGUCGUGGGGAGUUUGAACGAGCGGAACCUUUACUAACCGACUCGUGUCAAAUUCAAGACGCAGAAAGUUGGCGUCUUCUUACUGCCAACGUUCUUGUUCUAUUAGCAGAUUGUUUGCUGAAAUUGGAUCAUACUGACAAGUAUGCAUUUUAAUAUUUUAAAAAUUUUAAAUUGCUUUUUGUAUUGUAUGGCAGGUAUGCAAGUGCUUGUUCGAGUUUGGCGUGUCGUGAUCCGUCGCUGCCUGAUACAAGACAUCAGCAUUAUUAUCAGGAAUUGUUGAGGAUUGCUAGAGAUGGAAAAGAGCAAGUACUGCUAUCCUUCGAUGCCAUAUUCAACUACCAG
Corticium candelabrum is the source of this 512-nucleotide long non-coding RNA. RefSeq lists it as uncharacterized. The record is from RefSeq and is a predicted model, not a curated record. NCBI's taxonomy places the organism in Eukaryota, Metazoa, Porifera, Homoscleromorpha, Homosclerophorida, Plakinidae. The transcript is spliced from 4 exons.